GUGGGGGGCGAGCGUUGUCCGGAUUCAUUGGGCGUAAAGAGCUCGUAGGCGGCUCAGUAAGUCGGCCGUGAAAGCCCGGGGCUCAACCCCGGGACGCCGGUCGAUACUGCUGUGGCUAGGGUCCGGUAGAGGAGAGUGGAAUUCCCGGUGUAGCGGUGAAAUGCGCAGAUAUCGGGAGGAACACCAGUAGCGAAGGCGGCUCUCUGGGCCGGUACCGACGCUGAGGAGCGAAAGCUAGGGGAGCAAACAGGAUUAGAUACCCUGGUAGUCCUAGCCGUAAACGAUGGGCACUAGGUGUGGCGGAUUCAUUGACAUCUGCCGUGCCGGAGCUAACGCAUUAAGUGCCCCCGCCUGGGGAGUACGGUCGCAAGGCUA
This 375-nucleotide ribosomal RNA is filed under the name uncultured organism. RNAcentral describes it as "partial 16S ribosomal RNA". It matches the Rfam family "Bacterial small subunit ribosomal RNA", at positions 527 to 896 of the family's 1533-position model. The record is from RNAcentral.